UCUAUGACGGGGUAUCCGGCCUGAGAGGGUGAUCGGACACACUGGAACUGAGACACGGUCCAGACUCCUACGGGAGGCAGCAGUAGGGAAUAUUGCUCAAUGGGGGAAACCCUGAAGCAGCAACGCCGCGUGGAGGAUGAAGGUUUUAGGAUUGUAAACUCCUUUUGUUAGAGAAGAUAAUGACGGUAUCUAACGAAUAAGCACCGGCUAACUCCGUGCCAGCAGCCGCGGUAAUACGGAGGGUGCAAGCGUUACUCGGAAUCACUGGGCGUAAAGAGCGCGUAGGCGG
Molecule: ribosomal RNA, 289 nt
Filed under: Helicobacter sp. H004
Lineage: Bacteria; Pseudomonadati; Campylobacterota; Epsilonproteobacteria; Campylobacterales; Helicobacteraceae
Description: partial 16S ribosomal RNA
Rfam family: Bacterial small subunit ribosomal RNA
Source: RNAcentral